Non-coding RNA from Cicer arietinum (chickpea), 527 nucleotides. NCBI's taxonomy places the organism in Eukaryota, Viridiplantae, Streptophyta, Magnoliopsida, Fabales, Fabaceae. The record is from RefSeq and is a predicted model, not a curated record.
UUUGAUCACAACACGAAUGCAAAAAUAUCCAAUCCUCAAGAGGAAUCUAAGGCGAAUAAUUUUUUAAGUAAAAUUAUUUAUCGUUUUUAUUUUGGUCCUGCAAAGAAACUUCAAAUCACACAAUGUUCAUCAUUUCAAGAUGUUGAAGUUGGUUGUAAAGAUUCAAAACUAAGCACAACAGCCCAGACGAGGAUGAUGGAAAUGAAAAUGGCCCAUUAAGGACGAGUCCAACCCAAAGAAGGUGCUAGUGCUACUACUGCAGGGGAAGAGGAAGAUACUUCCUCUGAAAUCAGAACCUCCAAAAUUACAUGCAUGAGGAGAAAAUCAGUGAGAGGAUGAAGAUUCUCCAAGAUGUUGUACCAAGUUACAAUAAGAGGUGCAGGUAAGUUAAAUCAGUAUUUAUGCUUCACUGUAGUUUAAUUUUUUUAGUAUUUUGCAUAAAGGUAUGUGGCAUAUAGGAACAGUUUUUUUAGUAUGUUGAUCAAUGUAUAGUAAUAAUAAAAGUUUUUAUUCUUUUGAGAGACAAA